AAAAAAAAAAAAAAAAAAAAGUUCUGAGUUGCAAGACACGCAUGUUAUAAAAGGACGCCAAACAACAUAUGCAUUGCUGAAACGAGAGAAACACAGUAUCAACCUAUUUCUGGUUGGUAAAAGGAUCGGAUAAAAGAAAUAAACACCACCCACGAACCAAAAUCGCACUGCUGAAUUACAAUACAUCAAAUCAUUCUAUCAAGAGAUCAAUACUCCCAUUUCUUCACCUCCAUACCAUCAGGAGGACUUCCUUCCACCUUCUUUGAACCCACUUCUUUCCAGUUUGUGGACAGCACUGUCCCAUUUGACUCUACAAAAGAUUUUUUCAUUGCCCUUCUUGUGUCCUCAUCAGCGUCUUGGUAUAUGUCCCGGAAAAAUUUAUUCAAGGCUGCAUCACCAUCCAGCUUUUCCUCUUUCUCCUGAAAUUCAGACACAUUAUUGUCCAUACCUCAACUGAAAACAUGAUUCUACUAGAUUUCAUAGAAAAUACAGAUAUAUUGAUUGGAAAAGAAACUAACCUUGUGUUAGGAAAGAAGAAUUUGAAAUAUGAGAUUUGAAUUUGAUAAAAGUAUAUGUUUCAUUUAAUUGAUUAGUCAUAAUAUUUAUUAGGCUUAUAAAUGUGGAAAACAUCUUAUUUGAGUGUGGAUUUGAAAUAAUUUAUAAAAUGGUGUUAUUUCAAAUCCACUCUAAUAGUUCUUAACAAAUAAAAUGGCUAUAUUUGAAAUCUACAAUUUAUCAACAAUUUAUACUAAAAUUAGUCCCUUGAUUUCAAAUUUUGAUAUCCAAACAUAGCAUAAAAGAAAUCUACAAGAUUACCUCCUUCUUCAUUUGAGCUUCAAGCUUGUCCCAGUCAGUAGCUUUUGGCUUUGAUGAAGGAUAGGAAGGUCUGUUAGACCCAGUCGCUACAAUUCAACAUAAGAAACAAGCUUAGAAAUGGAAGACACGAUGCUAGCCAGAUUAUUCAGCAUACACAGACUAAAGCAAGCAUUUGUGUUUAAAUAGGCCAGUUCCACCUAUUAACACAAUUCUACAGUAAAUCACAUUCUCUAAAAGCCCUAUGUAUUUCAAUCAAUGAUAGGGAUUAUCUUGGAAGAAGCCACAGUAUCACUCAAUAAUGGAUCACAUACAUUUCACAACUUACACAUUCUAAUGGCAACUCUACACUUGAACCACAGCAGUAACAAUUCAAACAAAUGCAAUUGUUUGGUUAUAAGUAUAGAGUUUGCAAUAAAUUCAGAAAUGAAGCAAAUGUUAACAUGAAUAAUAUAUGAUUCACAUUAGUGACAAUGAGUAGCGUUUGUUAUUCUUUUCAUUUCGUUUUACUCUAUUUUUGGGGGAAAGAGGAAAUAGGAAUGAAAGAGGUACAGGAAAAAUCAAUUCCACACUCACCUGAGGAUACAUCGACUCUUUGUACAACUGUUGGUUCCUUCUUGUAUUCAAGGGAGGUCCAUUGUAUAGGAUCAGCCUUCGCAAGGCGGAUUUCAACCUUUGUAGACAAAACAUCAUAUCUACACUUGGCAGGUAUUAU
This 1528-nucleotide unclassified non-coding RNA is filed under the name Hevea brasiliensis (rubber tree). The record is from RNAcentral. Lineage: Eukaryota; Viridiplantae; Streptophyta; Magnoliopsida; Malpighiales; Euphorbiaceae.